RNAcentral lists this long non-coding RNA (1065 nucleotides) under Anser brachyrhynchus (Pink-footed goose). RNAcentral's name for it is "lncRNA (ENSABRG00000000624.1)". The record is from RNAcentral. Lineage: Eukaryota; Metazoa; Chordata; Aves; Anseriformes; Anatidae.
UAAAAUUCAAUCUUUGAAUAAGGAGCUGGUAAAACAGUGGUCUCCAGGCAGUAAAUUAAGUCACUAGAACCUUAAAUAGAUUACUUAUAGGAAACUGACUAAGGAAGCACAUGUCUUCAGGCACAAGAUGGAAAGACCUUACCCUGGAUCAGACACAUCUUACAGAAGCAUUUGGUGCCAGAAGAUAAUUUAAUCUAUUAAAAAGCAUGUACUGGGGAGCUUUUGAUUGCCUUCAAAAAGAACUGGCAGAAAUGCCCUCACAAACCAGACAGACCUUCCCUGUUUGCCAGGGUAUGUAUUCCCCUCCACCCCUCCUGAUCUGUCCUCAGCUUUGCUGACCUCUACAAGGCACACUUGUAGAUGGCAACUGAUGCUUAUCCUCAUGCUGCUUUUUUUCCUGUGCCCGAAUCAUCACUCAGAAGAAGACCAUGAUGAGGUUUCAGCAGUCUUAGCAGCCUCAGGUGGACCAGCUUUGAAAAAGGGAGAAGAGAGUCCUCAGGCCAGGCCUACUGGUGCCAAUGACCAGUCAUUCUCAAGAAAUCCGCUGGCACAUUCCCACUCCUUCUGCCACAUCUCCAAGUACAACAGUGCUGAGAUAUCUGGAGACAACAGGGAUUCAACAGUGAAAGAAAGAAAGAAAAAGAGAAGGAAGAAUGUGUCCACCAGACUCAUGAUGAAAUGGAAGAGAGUGAAGAGCUCACCAAGCCAUCUUCAAAAAGCUUGAUAGGUCUUCAUGGCACAGUACAGAGCUAUGUAGAUAUAUUAAUUAGUGUUCCAGCAUUGAUACAAACACGUCUUUCUGAAAACAGUCAUGACCCAAACCUGUUAUUAAAUAUUAAUCUGAGGUUCUCUGCACCAUGGUACAUUGUUUUGUGUAGACUAAUCCUAAAACACAAACAAACAAACAAACAAACCUCCUCUGCAGUAAGGUUUAUGAUUUCAUGAUGUAAAAGGAAAUGAGAGGUACAAAUUUUUUUAUUGCUCAGGUUUAGCAAUAUUUUGAACAUUUGACUGAAAGUCCUUGCAUACAUUCUGCCCUUAAGCUCAAUGAAUUUGAAUUGCAAC